Molecule: ribosomal RNA, 475 nt
Filed under: uncultured bacterium
Lineage: Bacteria
Description: bacterial SSU rRNA
Rfam family: Bacterial small subunit ribosomal RNA
Source: RNAcentral
ACUCCUACGGGAGGCAGCAGUGGGGAAUAUUGCACAAUGGGGGAAACCCUGAUGCAGCCAUGCCGCGUGUGUGAAGAAGGCCUUCGGGUUGUAAAGCACUUUCAGUAGGGAGGAAGGUAGUGUAGUUAACACCUGCACUAUUUGACGUUACCUACAGAAGAAGCACCGGCUAACUCCGUGCCAGCAGCCGCGGUAAUACGGAGGGUGCGAGCGUUAAUCGGAAUUACUGGGCGUAAAGCGCAUGCAGGCGGCCUGUUAAGUCAGAUGUGAAAGCCCGGGGUCUUAACCUCGGAAUUGCAUUUGAAACUGGCAGGCUAGAGUCUUGUAGAGGGGGUUAGAAUUUCAGGUGUAGCGGUGAAAUGCGUAGAGAUCUGAAGGAAUACCAGUGGCGAAGGCGGCCCCCUGGACAAAGACUGACGCUCAGAUGCGAAAGCGUGGGAGCAAACAGGAUUAGAUACCCCGUGGUAGCGACUGA